RNAcentral lists this ribosomal RNA (747 nucleotides) under Streptomyces sp. B1Y42. RNAcentral describes it as "bacterial SSU rRNA". It matches the Rfam family "Bacterial small subunit ribosomal RNA", at positions 72 to 834 of the family's 1533-position model. The record is from RNAcentral. Lineage: Bacteria; Bacillati; Actinomycetota; Actinomycetes; Kitasatosporales; Streptomycetaceae.
AACCUCCUUCGGGAGGGGAUUAGUGGCGAACGGGUGAGUAACACGUGGGCAAUCUGCCCUUCACUCUGGGACAAGCCCUGGAAACGGGGUCUAAUACCGGAUACGAGCCUCCAAGGCAUCUUGGAGGUUGGAAAGCUCCGGCGGUGAAGGAUGAGCCCGCGGCCUAUCAGCUUGUUGGUGAGGUAAUGGCUCACCAAGGCGACGACGGGUAGCCGGCCUGAGAGGGCGACCGGCCACACUGGGACUGAGACACGGCCCAGACUCCUACGGGAGGCAGCAGUGGGGAAUAUUGCACAAUGGGCGAAAGCCUGAUGCAGCGACGCCGCGUGAGGGAUGACGGCCUUCGGGUUGUAAACCUCUUUCAGCAGGGAAGAAGCGAAAGUGACGGUACCUGCAGAAGAAGCGCCGGCUAACUACGUGCCAGCAGCCGCGGUAAUACGUAGGGCGCAAGCGUUGUCCGGAAUUAUUGGGCGUAAAGAGCUCGUAGGCGGCUUGUCACGUCGGGUGUGAAAGCCCGGGGCUUAACCCCGGGUCUGCAUUCGAUACGGGCUAGCUAGAGUGUGGUAGGGGAGAUCGGAAUUCCUGGUGUAGCGGUGAAAUGCGCAGAUAUCAGGAGGAACACCGGUGGCGAAGGCGGAUCUCUGGGCCAUUACUGACGCUGAGGAGCGAAAGCGUGGGGAGCGAACAGGAUUAGAUACCCUGGUAGUCCACGCCGUAAACGGUGGGAACUAGGUGUUGGCGACAUUU